This 149-nucleotide small nuclear RNA is filed under the name Propithecus coquereli (Coquerel's sifaka). RNAcentral's name for it is "U1 spliceosomal RNA (ENSPCOG00000013729.1)". It matches the Rfam family "U1 spliceosomal RNA". From Rfam's summary of the family: U1 is a small nuclear RNA (snRNA) component of the spliceosome (involved in pre-mRNA splicing). Its 5' end forms complementary base pairs with the 5' splice junction, thus defining the 5' donor site of an intron. The record is from RNAcentral. Lineage: Eukaryota; Metazoa; Chordata; Mammalia; Primates; Indriidae.
AUGCUUACUCGGCAGGGGAGAUAACAUGAUCAUAAAGAUGGUUUUUCCAGGGGGAGACUUAGCCAUUGCACCCCAGAUGUGCUGACCUCUGUGAUUUCCCCAAGCCCGACUGCAUCAUUUGUGGCAGCGGGGCACUGCAUUCACCCUCU